RNAcentral lists this transfer RNA (72 nucleotides) under Camelus bactrianus (Bactrian camel). It matches the Rfam family "tRNA". From Rfam's summary of the family: Transfer RNA (tRNA) molecules are approximately 80 nucleotides in length. The record is from Rfam by way of RNAcentral. RNAcentral also lists the same sequence under 2 other names. Lineage: Eukaryota; Metazoa; Chordata; Mammalia; Artiodactyla; Camelidae.
GAGGGUAUAGCUCGGGGGCAGAGUGUGUGCCUAACAAGCACAAGAUCCUGGGUUCAAUCCUCAGGACCUUCA